Molecule: ribosomal RNA, 512 nt
Filed under: uncultured bacterium
Lineage: Bacteria
Description: bacterial SSU rRNA
Rfam family: Bacterial small subunit ribosomal RNA
Source: RNAcentral
UCCUGGCUCAGGAUGAACGCUAGCUACAGGCUUAACACAUGCAAGUCGAGGGGCAGCAUGGUCUUAGCUUGCUAAGAUUGAUGGCGACCGGCGCACGGGUGAGUAACGCGUAUCCAACCUUCCCUAUAGUAGGGGAUAGCCCGUAGAAAUGCGGAUUAAUACCCUAUGUUGUAUUUUGAGGACAUCUGACGAAUACCAAAGGUUCACCGCUAUAGGAUGGGGAUGCGUCUGAUUAGGUAGUCGGCGGGGUAACGGCCCACCGAGCCAACGAUCAGUAGGGGUUCUGAGAGGAAGGUCCCCCACAUUGGAACUGAGACACGGUCCAAACUCCUACGGGAGGCAGCAGUGAGGAAUAUUGGUCAAUGGGCGAGAGCCUGAACCAGCCAAGUAGCGUGCAGGAUGACGGCCCUAUGGGUUGUAAACUGCUUUUAUGCGGGGAUAAAGUGGGGGACGUGUCCCUUAUUGUAGGUACCGCAUGAAUAAGGACCGGCUAAUUCCGUGCCAGCCGCUGC